RNAcentral lists this non-coding RNA (91 nucleotides) under Pseudohaemophilus sputorum. RNAcentral's name for it is "Haemophilus sputorum TPP sequence". It matches the Rfam family "TPP riboswitch aptamer (THI element)". Rfam says of the family: Vitamin B(1) in its active form thiamin pyrophosphate (TPP) is an essential coenzyme that is synthesised by coupling of pyrimidine and thiazole moieties in bacteria. The previously detected thiamin-regulatory element, thi box was extended, resulting in a new, highly conserved RNA secondary structure, the THI element, which is widely distributed in eubacteria and also occurs in some archaea. Analysis of operon structures identified a large number of new candidate thiamin-regulated genes, mostly transporters, in various prokaryotic organisms. Lineage: Bacteria; Pseudomonadati; Pseudomonadota; Gammaproteobacteria; Pasteurellales; Pasteurellaceae. The record is from RNAcentral.
CCGAAUUAGUCGGGGUGCGCAUUGUCGCUGAGAUGAUACCCGUGAACCUGAAGCAGUUAAUACUGACGUAGGAAACUAACAUGCCAAUCUU